CCCUUAACAUAACAAGCUAUUAUAGUCCAGUGGUUUCACCUCCUUGGAAUGAGGAAGUGUUCGUGUGUUCGAAUUUAUUGUGCUAUUACUGGACACCCUUUAUGGAAUUCCUGGCUCCGCCACUACUUUGUUUGAUUGUCGUCAUAUUUUGUUGUAGUUAUUGUUAUAUUUUAAGAAGAUACAAGUUCUCGCUUACUUUUUCUUUCUCCUAUAGAUGUUGUUGUUGUAGUAGUAGUAGUGAUCAUCUAUUUGGGCAGCAUUAUAUUCCUGCUAAUCAUGUGGCUAUGGAUGGAAGAAUUAUCAAUUGGGGAUUGUGGAAAACUGCAGGUACUUUUUAUUUCAAUAGAUUUACUAGCCUCUUAAUCUUUGAUUUGUGUGCUUAAUUAUGAGAUUAUCUUAUGAAUUUUUAUUUUUCUAUGUGUUUAAAAGGUCAAGAAGAUUAUUUGGCUGGCUGUAGAGUUCAAACAGGUAUUUCACCAUAAUUAACUUACUUAUGUGGUCAACUUUCUGAACAAAAAGUAGAAAACAAAGACUUGAUAGCAUGAAAUUUGAUUUAAAUUCCCGGUUUCUAAAGGUCUGUAAAUUAUACUUUCUACUACAUUACGGAAGCCUUGGAAUAACAGGUAAAGUUAUUGUUAUUGCUAUGUGAUCAGGAGGUCAAAAGUUUGAGCCGUGGAAACAAAAAUGCAGGAUAAGGUUGCAUACAAUAGGCUCGUAUGGUCCAACCCUUCCUUCUACUGCAUUAUUAUUAUUAUUAUCUCUCUACGGUUUUUGCUUUUUCUUUGCUAUUUUUGAAUGACACUUCGACGUUAAAUCCACAGGAAAAUGCUGGUGGUGAUCUCUUCUCUUUUCAUUCAAAAUUUUGGACACGAAGGG
This 876-nucleotide long non-coding RNA is filed under the name Solanum tuberosum (potato). Its description in RNAcentral is "long non-coding RNA (STUB_LNC004239)". Lineage: Eukaryota; Viridiplantae; Streptophyta; Magnoliopsida; Solanales; Solanaceae. The record is from RNAcentral.